AGCGGCGCACGGGUGAGUAACGCGUGGAUAACGUACCUAAUGGUUAGGGACAACCUACUGAAAAGUGGGCUAAUACCUGAUAAGCUCUUUUGAAGUACGCUUCGAAAGAGGAAAGCGGGGCGACUCGCGCCAUAUGAUCGGUCCGCGUCCCAUCAGCUAGUUGGCGGGGUAAAUGCCCACCAAGGCUAAGACGGGUAACUGGUCUGAGAGGACGACCAGUCACACUGGGACUGAGACACGGCCCAGACUCC
RNAcentral lists this ribosomal RNA (251 nucleotides) under uncultured bacterium. RNAcentral's name for it is "partial 16S ribosomal RNA". It matches the Rfam family "Bacterial small subunit ribosomal RNA", at positions 94 to 339 of the family's 1533-position model. The record is from RNAcentral.